This 594-nucleotide ribosomal RNA is filed under the name Pantoea sp. N2.20. RNAcentral's name for it is "bacterial SSU rRNA". It matches the Rfam family "Bacterial small subunit ribosomal RNA", at positions 834 to 1428 of the family's 1533-position model. The record is from RNAcentral. Lineage: Bacteria; Pseudomonadati; Pseudomonadota; Gammaproteobacteria; Enterobacterales; Erwiniaceae.
GAGGCGUGGCUUCCGGAGCUAACGCGUUAAGUCGACCGCCUGGGGAGUACGGCCGCAAGGUUAAAACUCAAAUGAAUUGACGGGGGCCCGCACAAGCGGUGGAGCAUGUGGUUUAAUUCGAUGCAACGCGAAGAACCUUACCUACUCUUGACAUCCAGAGAACUUUCCAGAGAUGGAUUGGUGCCUUCGGGAACUCUGAGACAGGUGCUGCAUGGCUGUCGUCAGCUCGUGUUGUGAAAUGUUGGGUUAAGUCCCGCAACGAGCGCAACCCUUAUCCUUUGUUGCCAGCGGUUAGGCCGGGAACUCAAAGGAGACUGCCAGUGAUAAACUGGAGGAAGGUGGGGAUGACGUCAAGUCAUCAUGGCCCUUACGAGUAGGGCUACACACGUGCUACAAUGGCGCAUACAAAGAGAAGCGACCUCGCGAGAGCAAGCGGACCUCAUAAAGUGCGUCGUAGUCCGGAUUGGAGUCUGCAACUCGACUCCAUGAAGUCGGAAUCGCUAGUAAUCGUAGAUCAGAAUGCUACGGUGAAUACGUUCCCGGGCCUUGUACACACCGCCCGUCACACCAUGGGAGUGGGUUGCAAAAGAAGUA